Long non-coding RNA from Ochotona princeps (American pika), 697 nucleotides. RefSeq lists it as uncharacterized. The record is from RefSeq and is a predicted model, not a curated record. Lineage: Eukaryota; Metazoa; Chordata; Mammalia; Lagomorpha; Ochotonidae. The transcript has 3 exons.
CAGCCACGCAGAGUUGAUUUGAGUCGCACCAGUGGGAGAAGCCAGGGCGCCUGCAGCUGUGACUAGCCGUGCACCUCAGUUCUAGUCCGUGGCAGUGAACAGAAGUGUGCUGGCAUGAAAGAGAGCUUGCACCUUCCUCACAAGAAAAGGAAGAACUCCCUUGGCAUGACUGGCAGAGUCUAGGCCACAUCCCAGUUCCCUGGUAGGAAGGGCUCUGAGCACAGAGGGUGCAGCAAGAUGCCAGCCCAAGGUCACUUUUCAUCAGCCUGAGGCUUUGACCACUUCCAGGCAUCACAGGUCCCUGGACGCACACUCGGCAACAACACGGUCUGAAGUCUACAUGAGAAAGGUCCAGAUCCCUUCGCAGGACGGCCGCACACAGGCCCAUGGGUUGCCAGAGCUGCUUCCUGGUUCCUGGGCAGCUCAGGAACCCGAACAGUUUCUUCCUUCAAGUGGAUGCAGUUGGUUCCUCUCCUCCUGGGAAAAUACUGCCUUCUGUGUAAAAGGCACUGAACCAGCAAAAACAACUUCAGGACACAUGUAGAACGGCAGACUGACAUCUGUCGUCCGCCCACCCCCAAACAUUGAGCCUUCCAAAACAAUGUCCUCUUUUGGGGGGAUGGGAGUUGGAUUCUAACCUUCCUUCCAGGGGCAAGAGCGCAGGAGUGAGAGCUGCACAGUGAAUGGAUUCUUUUGC